Non-coding RNA from Megalopta genalis, 1833 nucleotides. The record is from RefSeq and is a predicted model, not a curated record. Lineage: Eukaryota; Metazoa; Arthropoda; Insecta; Hymenoptera; Halictidae.
UAUUCAAUUUUAUUCAUUUCUAUUUAAUUUAUCUAUUGAAUUUAUCUGUCUUUGAUUCAUCUGUAUUCAAUUUAUUUGCAUUCAAUUCACCUGUAUCUAAUUUAACCGAUUAAUUAGGUUUGUCAGCGUCGCUAGAAUCGUCGGUAUCGUUAUUUAAUUAAAAAUAAUCGGAUUAAAAAUAAUCCACUGACAUUUUUCACCGGCUAUAUCAACUUAUCGUACGAUGGACGGAGUCAUGUUGGUUCACUUGAAAUUAAGCCUGCGAUCAGGAUCUCGGUGCUUGCCACCUUCGCGUUUGGUUCUAUUCUGAAUUUAGCUGAAAAGUGUGUCUUCAUACGCGUCGAUUCAAUAUUUGUGCGAAAUAGGCAAAGAGCGUUGAAACUGGUUCUUUCGGUAAUCGACGUUGAAAGCGUCAACUUCGUUUAUUUAUUUUCUCGUCAGACGAGGGAGGAAUCAUUUAGCUUGUUAGUUUUUCUGGGACAGUUGUCGAAGACCGCAGGGCACCCACAUUUUUUUUUAAACCUUCUCGUUUCCCAUCGUUCGUUCAUGCCAUUUUUAUGCCUGUCUUUUUGCAGGUCGACAACAACAAUGUUUAUUAUGAUAUAUUCCUUCGUUAGAGGAGCAAUAGCCACAUCACCGGUUUAUGUAACUUCUCAUCAAGGAAAAUCAUCUUAUCGUUACUAAGCAAAUUAGGCGGAGAUUAUGCAUUUACCUCUUAGAGUGCUAGGAGAUGAAUCGAGUUACGAGAUAGGGGAUUCUGUUUUCUCUGCCUCCGCGGACGCUUCGGGGUCUCGUCCGACCCGGACUAUUUUACACCGAGAAAUGACCGCCAGGGUUUCAUCCAAAUAUUUAGAUGAUCCAGGAAAGAGAACAGUUUCGUCGUCGUCGUCGUUGAUCAUAAUAGCUGAAUGGAGUCAUCGACAAUUCAAUUACGAUCUCGCACGUGUUAACAGCGAAAUAGAAAAAGAAACGUUCACACACGUCUGUCGGAGCUGCGGAGGACUAAAUAUCGGCCACGCUGUAUUCGCACAUUUGGAAUCCAGUUCUCGAAUCCGGCGACUGUUUACCGUCUCGCGGAACAACCAUAAGGCGAACAAGUUGCAAUUUAUAAAUAACGCUACGCGACGUUAGUCAUCCGCUUUGUUGAUUGUUACCGGUACGUUGCGUCCAGGCAUUGCAUAAUUGUCGAUCGUCGUCGAGUAUCAUUGCCCGUCGAGAUUGUCUCUCAUUGAUAUUUUAUCUACUCUCCGAGCCUCGCCGCGCCGAGAUUCGUUUUAUCCUAUAUCGCCGUCAACCUCGUGCGUCUAAUGACAGCAUUUAAGCGCCGCCGUUGAUGUCCGGCGAUGAUCGUCGGGAAAUGAUUUUCAAGAACUGUUCGGUCCGCUACUUACUCUAAUUGCGGCGACGGAAUUCCGCCGAGACUCGAUUCGAAUCCUCUUCGUCGGCUUUUGUCGUCGACGGAAACACCAGACCCGGGCACGAUGUAUGUAUACGCGAUGCUUGACCGGCGAGCACGGAACGCGAUAUUGUCAGCGCGAAGCCAGACCGCCAACUGACGAUAACAUUUAUCAGCAAUACUAUUUAUUUCCUUGUUUGUGCCCGACCAUUUACUGAUUAGAACCCUAUCGACGCAUCGUAUUUGACUAAGUGGUUUUAUCUGCCAUCGAACGUUGCACGAUCUCGCCGAUUACGUAGCGGAUCUAUGACAAGCUACUUCAGCCGUCUCAUCUUGUUAUUAUCAUUUAUUAAUUCUUGCCUAUUUAGGCUGAGGAUGACUUUCAGUAUACAUAUGCAUAUCUUUAGUUUUCCAUUGCACGGUGAACUACAAUUGCA